This 233-nucleotide unclassified non-coding RNA is filed under the name Hevea brasiliensis (rubber tree). Lineage: Eukaryota; Viridiplantae; Streptophyta; Magnoliopsida; Malpighiales; Euphorbiaceae. The record is from RNAcentral.
AAAUCAAAGGCAGGGCUUUGCACCUAAAUAAGAGUGAAAAUUUAACAUAUGUCAUUAACCUCCAUACACCAAUCAACAGAAAGAUUAUGAGAACAUACAAACUUCAAACACAAUUGGAAAAGAUACUUUGAUGCUCGCUUGAAUUCUCAUUGCCAAAAAACAAAAAAAAAAUUUUUUCCUCAGAAUACAAUGAGACUUAGCUUGUGCUUACCCACCGUCGUGCCUGUGCAAUA